This 1115-nucleotide long non-coding RNA is filed under the name Homo sapiens (human). RNAcentral describes it as "HSALNT0097059". The record is from RNAcentral. Lineage: Eukaryota; Metazoa; Chordata; Mammalia; Primates; Hominidae.
GGAAAAUACAUAAACAUAUAAAUGACAGCUCCACUCUACACUUUAUCUCUGGGUUUCACACAUUUGUUUUCCUUUGCAAAUAUGAGGAAAAUUCAGAAUUUUAGUGAGAAAAAUUAUUGAUGGAAAAUAUUGCUUCCAUUUUUGGGCCUUUAGAAGAAUCCUAAAGUACCUAUUUUUCAAACCAUAAUGAGAGAAUUCCAAAUGCAAACUAAAGCAACCAUGCAGGCCUCUAGAGAGAAAGGGGAAUAUUAUUAUGUAUAGUCUAUCAUCAUUAUCAUCACCAAAUAGUCUUUGUUAAAGUCUUCAGGAUCACAAGGCAGUGGAGUGGUUAAAUUGGCAUUUCUGUCUCUUCCCAAGAGCUUGUAGUUUAAAUAGAAACAGAGCAGCAAAGACAAACACAUACAAGGUCAGGCUGACACCAACACUAAACAUUAACAUACUAAUUAAAAUAGAAUACAUCUCAUUACAGUUCAAUAAGAAUGGGAGGCAGGAAGAUGUAAUAUGAAAAAGUGCUAAAUUAGAGAGUCAAAAGACUUUGCAGCAUGCUGGGUGUACUGCUUUGAGCAAGUCACUCCUAAGGUUAAAACACUUGGUAAGACUUGGAGGAGGUAGUUUGGAAUAGUGAACCAAAGACAGAAUCUGGAGUCAGGAAACCACUCAACUUCUGUAACCAUGGUGAGAUGGUAUCUUCUGGUUAUAAUAGAUAGUCUUCUCUGUUUCUAAAAAUAAAGAAACUGAGGUUUAGGAAAGGCAACUGCUAGCUCAUCCAUUAUUUGAUUGGAAGACGGGGAACACCCGACAAAAUUAAGAGCAGAGAGAAAUAUUAAUGAAUGGAAUUACAAGAAGUUGACCUCAGGGAAAUCGGAAGGUAAGCAGACUCCUCUUCCUAUGUCUUUAUUUCUCAGGCUAUAUGAUCUUUUGGCUCAUGCAUUUUUAACAGAUUUAACAAAUAUUAACUGAGAGCCUACUAUAUGUUGAGCACACUUAUGUGUCCUGGAGAUCCCAUACUGUACAUGAGCAAUAAUGUUUCUCUUUUCAUGGAGAUGCUAUUCUAGGAGACAAGGAGAAACAGUAAAACAAGUGAACAGACAAGAAAAUUUCUUAGCUAAAAGAGU